RNAcentral lists this ribosomal RNA (467 nucleotides) under uncultured bacterium. RNAcentral describes it as "partial 16S ribosomal RNA". It matches the Rfam family "Bacterial small subunit ribosomal RNA", at positions 28 to 507 of the family's 1533-position model. The record is from RNAcentral.
GACGAACGCUGGCGGCGUGCUUAACACAUGCAAGUCGAACGGAAAGGCUCCAGCUUGCUGGUGUGCUCGAGUGGCGAACGGGUGAGUAACACGUGGGUAAUCUGCCCUGCACUCUGGGAUAAGCCUGGGAAACUGGGUCUAAUACUGGAUAUGACAUUUCUCCUCAUGGGGUUUGGUGGAAAGUUUUUCGGUGUGGGAUGAGCCCGCGGCCUAUCAGCUUGUUGGUGGGGUUAUGGCCUACCAAGGCGACGACGGGUAGCCGGCCUGAGAGGGUGAUCGGCCACACUGGGACUGAGAUACGGCCCAGACUCCUACGGGAGGCAGCAGUGGGGAAUAUUGCACAAUGGGCGGAAGCCUGAUGCAGCGACGCCGCGUGAGGGAUGACGGCCUUCGGGUUGUAAACCUCUUUCAGCAGGGACGAAGCGUAAGUGACGGUACCUGCAGAAGAAGCACCGGCUAACUACGUG